CCUACGGGUGGCAGCAGUGGGGAAUAUUGGACAAUGGGCGAAAGCCUGAUCCAGCCAUGCCGCGUGUGUGAUGAAGGCCUUCGGGUUGUAAAGCACUUUCAGUGGGGAAGAAAGCCUUGGGGCUAAUACCCUCGAGGAAGGACAUCACCCACAGAAGAAGCACCGGCUAACUCCGUGCCAGCAGCCGCGGUAAUACGGAGGGUGCGAGCGUUAAUCGGAAUUACUGGGCGUAAAGCGCGCGUAGGCGGUCUGAUAAGCCGGUUGUGAAAGCCCCGGGCUCAACCUGGGAACGGCAUCCGGAACUGUCAGGCUAGAGUGCAGGAGAGGAAGGUAGAAUUCCCGGUGUAGCGGUGAAAUGCGUAGAGAUCGGGAGGAAUACCAGUGGCGAAGGCGGCCUUCUGGACUGACACUGACGCUGAGGUGCGAAAGCGUGGGUAGCAAACAGGAUUAGAUACCCCGGUAGUC
This 465-nucleotide ribosomal RNA is filed under the name Vreelandella stevensii. RNAcentral's name for it is "partial 16S ribosomal RNA". It matches the Rfam family "Bacterial small subunit ribosomal RNA", at positions 338 to 795 of the family's 1533-position model. The record is from RNAcentral. Lineage: Bacteria; Pseudomonadati; Pseudomonadota; Gammaproteobacteria; Oceanospirillales; Halomonadaceae.